GGCUCAGGACGAACGCUGGCGGCGUGCCUAACACAUGCAAGUCGAACGAAGUUAACUUUGGAAGUUUUCGGACGGAAGAUAUUAACUUAGUGGCGGACGGGUGAGUAACGCGUGAGCAACCUGCCUUUCAGAGGGGGAUAACAGUUGGAAACGACUGCUAAUACCGCAGUAAUAUAUCGGGAACCGCAUGGUUCUGAUAUCAAAGGAGCAAUCCGCUGAUAGAUGGGCUUGCGUCUGAUUAGCUAGUUGGUGGGGUAACGGGCCUACCAAGGCGACGAUCAGUAGCCGAGCUGAGAGGCUCAACGGCCACAUUGGGACUGAGAUACGGCCCAGACUCCUACGGGAGGCAGCAGUCGGGAAUAUUGCGCAAUGGAGGAAACUCUGACGCAGUGACGCCGCGUAUAGGAAGAAGGUUUCGGAUUGUAAACUAUUGUCAUUAGGGAAGAAAAAGACUGUACCUAAGGAGGAAGCCCCGGCUAACUAUGUG
Molecule: ribosomal RNA, 487 nt
Filed under: uncultured bacterium
Lineage: Bacteria
Description: bacterial SSU rRNA
Rfam family: Bacterial small subunit ribosomal RNA
Source: RNAcentral